RNAcentral lists this ribosomal RNA (801 nucleotides) under uncultured bacterium. RNAcentral describes it as "bacterial SSU rRNA". It matches the Rfam family "Bacterial small subunit ribosomal RNA", at positions 60 to 875 of the family's 1533-position model. The record is from RNAcentral.
AGCCUGUAAUGAUUACUUCGGUUUGAUUUAUGGGUGGAAAGUGGCGAACGGGUGAGUAACACGUAGGUGACCUGCCUCGAAGUGGGGGACAACCAUUGGAAACGAUGGCUAAUACCGCAUAGUCCUGGAAAUGCGGGAGUAUUUCCGGGUAAAGCUCUGGCGCUUCGAGAGGGGCCUGCGUCCGAUUAGCUAGUUGGUGGGGUAAUGGCCCACCAAGGCGACGAUCGGUAGCUGGUCUGAGAGGACGAUCAGUCACACGGGAACUGAGGCACGGUCCCGACUCCUACGGGGGGCAGCAGUGAGGAAUGUUGCACAAUGGGGGCAACCCUGAUGCAGCAACGCCGCGUGGAGGAUGAAGGCCCUUGGGUCGUAAACUCCUUUUUUGGGGGAAGAGUAAGGACGGUACCCCAAGAAUAAGUCACGGCUAACUACGUGCCAGCAGCCGCGGUAAUACGUAGGUGGCAAGCGUUAUCCGGAAUUACUGGGCGUAAAGCGCGCGCAGGCGGUUUGUCAAGUCCGAUGUGAAAGCUCCUGGCUUAACUGGGAGAGGUCGUUGGAAACUGAUUGACUUGAGGUAAUGAGAGGGGUGCGGAAUUCCCGGUGUAGUGGUGGAAUGCGUAGAUAUCGGGAGGAACACCAGUGGCGAAAGCGGCACCCUGGCAUUGACCUGACGCUCAUGUGCGAAAGCGUGGGGAGCGAACGGGAUUAGAUACCCCGGUAGUCCACGCCGUAAACGAUAAACACUAGGUGUGGGUAAUAUAAAUAUUCGUGCCGAAGCAAACGCGAUAAGUGUUCCGCCUG